Long non-coding RNA from Glycine soja, 795 nucleotides. RefSeq lists it as uncharacterized. The transcript has 4 exons. NCBI's taxonomy places the organism in Eukaryota, Viridiplantae, Streptophyta, Magnoliopsida, Fabales, Fabaceae. The record is from RefSeq and is a predicted model, not a curated record.
UUAGCUGUCACACCAUUUUCUCGCUUCUUGCUAUGUGAGUCUAAAUGUAUUGCUCUCACGAUCUCACCUCAACAUCUCAUCUCUCAUACAAUAGACACUGAUACGACACAAAAUACAUAACACACAUAACACUCUUGUCCCAUUAUUAAUGUUUCUUUCUCUUCUUAUGAUCAUCAUCUCGUUACCAUCCUAGUUCUCACUAUUUUUCCAUUUCCUUACUUCGUCUAGUGCCUUUGAUUUCAAUACUCGUGGAAAAUUACCGACAUUUAAGGUUUCAAAGGCAGCAUUGGAGCUACGCAGAUGAAGAAUCAUUUCGUGGAAUCCAUUGAUUUUCCUAUUGAAGAUGAUUGUACAUGAGCAUGAAUGCAACUCCAUGGUUCAAUGGUUCAAUUGGAACCCCUCGCACAGAGACAGUGAAAUUGAGGCUCCAAUCCCUUCUCCUUCUCCCUAACUCUUGGAAAUCCUAGGAGAGCAAUCAGAGGAAAAAGCUUGAGGAGUGUAAGAAAACCACUAGAGAUACUAUUAUAGCUGCCAGACAACACACAUGAGCUCACUAUGAGGUAAGGGAUGAGUUUAUUGCAAUUGAGGUUAGGAUGAACAUGUGUUGGGAUCCUUAGAGGAUCAAAUUGGGGCUAAUUUUGGGAGGUAUUUUAUGCAUUUUAAUUUUUUGUGUACAAUGAUAACUAUGAAUAGCUAAUCUUUGAUGGGUCAAUUGAUGCCAUGAUGCGAAUUGGAUGAUUUAAUUAAGUGUUUGGCUUUGAAUGUUAGAAAGCUAGAAAUUUGGGAAUUCUUGAU